CAUAUUUCUCUGCUUUACCUCCGGUUCCGGUUACCAUCAUCAUUCUCAGAUUUCUCUCUGAAUCCAAUUAUCAUCAUCGUUAAUCAAAGAUUGUGCAAUUUAAUGAGCUCAAAGUCAGUUGGUUAGAAGGAAGGCUUCCAAAACAAACUUAUUUUCAGAUCAUUUAUAAUCCAAAGGGUUGAUUUCACAAUGGUUCCAUCUUCUGUGUAAAAAUCUUCUUCUGCCAUUUUUCAUUUUAUUUUGUUCUUUUUCCAUUGAAAGAUCAAGAUUUUUCACUAUAAUGGGUCAUUGUACUUCAAGCAGAUGUUUGACAAGUUAUACCAGGCUGAUUGGAAACCAGAGUCACCAAGUAAGUUUGGUGACAUGACUGAACUAAUCAAGUCUCUAGACUCGAUAAAACUUGAAGAUAAAAAACCAUCAGGUUCUUUACCAUGCUUAUUCUAAUAUUUCUUUUAUGCCAGAUUUCCAGUAGCAAAAUUGAUUCUUUGUUAGAUUAAAAAAUGUCCUGCUGAAGUUAAUUUAGGAAAAAAAAAAGGAAGAUAUGCUUUUCCUACAAAUAUCAAACAACCCCUUUCAUAAAACUACCCAUCUCUUAAUUCUGUUACUUCCCUAUAUCAGUUUGGUUCUGUAAUUUUUAUAAUGCGUUCUCUCAUCUGAUCCUUUUUGUGAAAGGAUGAAUUUCAUGAAGGAUUGGUUUUCAGGCCGCAAAUAUAGCAGUAUGCUGCUAACUCUGUUAUCCUUUUUGGUCGGGAAGAGCAUUGCAGAAUAAGGAGAUAUUUUCUCUGAUAUUUGUAUUGUCAUCUUGAAUUUUACAAUGAAAGUGUUGGAUUGGGGUGAGGAUGGUGCUGCCACCGCUGCGGAAACUGCCGCUUUACGUGCAUCCUUUAGGCAGGAGGUUGCCGUCUGGUACAAACUCGACCAUCCAAAUGCCACGAAAUUUGUUGGAGCUUCAAUGGGAACUUCAAAUCUUAAGAUUCCUACAAAAAACUCUUCAACCAACAAUCAAGGGAGCCUUCCUUCUAGGGCAUGUUGCGUCAUUGUCAAAUUUCUUCCUGGUGGAACACUAAAGCAAUACUUUAUAAGAAAUAGGUGGAAGAAACUUGCGUAUAGGAUUGUGGUUCAGUUCGCUUUGGACCUUUCCAGAGGGUAAGUCUCCGUUUUUACUAUCCCUACAAUUUAGAAACUGCAAAUCUUAUACUGAUAUGAUGAAUACUAAUAACAGUCAUUUUUUGCUACCAUCUUGAUUCAUAAAUAUAAGAGACUGCUACCCAAUUAUAUCCCUACAAGAUGAUAUAAUGAGAGAACGUAAAGUGACUGCUAUUUAUUUUUCAUCUUUUUACUAGAGGAAUAAACAUCCAAGCAGUUAAUGUUGUUAUUAACUUUGAUUUUCCAAAGAACUCAGAAACUUAUUUGCACAGGGUUGGUUGGUCAGGGAGGUUUGAUGAUGUGUCUUAAUUUCAUUAUUAUAAUUAACUUCCUGGUGUUUACAGAUAACACCAAUUCCAUUCUAUCAUUUGAACUAUGUCACCAUUUGAUAUUUGAGAAUCAAAAUCCACAAUUGGUUACCUUUAAAAUCUUUAUUGUUGUUGCUUCAUAAAUAAGCAACUUAUGUAUUUGAUUUGGAGUAUUAUUGUGCAGUCUUGCUCUUCAUUGACAUUGUUUUGUUAUGGCCAAUAAAGAAAAAGUAACAAAGGAUCAGCAGUAUAUUUAGUCUUGACACUGUAUUCAUAUCAUAGUCUCUUAUUGUUUGAGAUAACUUAAUAUAAACCAAAGGCAUACAUCAGUUAAAUUA
Medicago truncatula (barrel medic) is the source of this 1792-nucleotide RNA transcript. RefSeq lists it as uncharacterized. The record is from RefSeq and is a predicted model, not a curated record. The transcript has 6 exons. Lineage: Eukaryota; Viridiplantae; Streptophyta; Magnoliopsida; Fabales; Fabaceae.